This 459-nucleotide ribosomal RNA is filed under the name uncultured bacterium. RNAcentral's name for it is "bacterial SSU rRNA". It matches the Rfam family "Bacterial small subunit ribosomal RNA", at positions 977 to 1434 of the family's 1533-position model. RNAcentral also lists the same sequence under 1 other name. The record is from RNAcentral.
GGGCUUGACAUCCCACGAACCUGCUGAAGGGCAGGAGUGCCCGCAAGGGAGCGCGGAGACAGGUGGUGCAUGGCUGUCGUCAGCUCGUGUCGUGAGAUGUUGGGUUAAGUCCCGCAACGAGCGCAACCCUCACCCCUUGUUGCUACCAGGUAAAGCUGGGCACUCUAGGGGAACUGCCCCGGUCAACGGGGAGGAAGGCGGGGAUGACGUCAAGUCAUCAUGCCCCUUACGUCCUGGGCUACACACGUGCUACAAUGGCCGGUACAAAGGGAUGCCACACCGCGAGGUAGAGCUAAACCCAAAAAGCCGGUCUAAGUUCAGAUUGGAGUCUGCAACUCGACUCCAUGAAGGAGGAAUCGCUAGUAAUCGCGUAUCAGCACGACGCGGUGAAUACGUUCCCGGGCCUUGUACACACCGCCCGUCACACCACGAAAGCCAGCUGUACUCGAAGUCGCUGAG